AUUGAACGCUGGCGGCAGGCCUAACACAUGCAAGUCGAACGGUAGCACAGAGAGCUUGCUCUCGGGUGACGAGUGGCGGACGGGUGAGUAAUGUCUGGGAAACUGCCCGAUGGAGGGGGAUAACUACUGGAAACGGUAGCUAAUACCGCAUAACGUCGCAAGAUCAAAGUGGGGGACCUUCGGGCCUCACACCAUCGGAUGUGCCCAGAUGGGAUUAGCUAGUAGGUGGGGUAAUGGCUCACCUAGGCGACGAUCCCUAGCUGGUCUGAGAGGAUGACCAGCCACACUGGAACUGAGACACGGUCCAGACUCCUACGGGAGGCGGCAGUGGGGAAUAUUGCACAAUGGGCGCAAGCCUGAUGCAGCCAUGCCGCGUGUAUGAAGAAGGCCUUCGGGUUGUAAAGUACUUUCAGCGGGGAGGAAGGCGAUGGAGUUAAUAGCUUCAUCGAUUGACGUUACCCGCAGAAGAAGCACCGGCUAACUCCGUGCCAGCCGCCGCCGUAA
Molecule: ribosomal RNA, 504 nt
Filed under: uncultured bacterium
Lineage: Bacteria
Description: partial 16S ribosomal RNA
Rfam family: Bacterial small subunit ribosomal RNA
Source: RNAcentral